GUGUGUAUAGCUCAGUGGUAGAGCACAGGCUUAACAUGCAUGAGGUCCUGGGUUCAAUCCCCAGUACCUCCA
Molecule: transfer RNA, 72 nt
Organism: Camelus ferus (Wild Bactrian camel)
Lineage: Eukaryota; Metazoa; Chordata; Mammalia; Artiodactyla; Camelidae
Rfam family: tRNA
About the family: Transfer RNA (tRNA) molecules are approximately 80 nucleotides in length. Their secondary structure includes four short double-helical elements and three loops (D, anti-codon, and T loops).
Source: Rfam